RNAcentral lists this ribosomal RNA (767 nucleotides) under Porina longispora. RNAcentral's name for it is "SSU rRNA". It matches the Rfam family "Bacterial small subunit ribosomal RNA", at positions 375 to 1207 of the family's 1533-position model. The record is from RNAcentral. Lineage: Eukaryota; Fungi; Ascomycota; Lecanoromycetes; Ostropales; Porinaceae.
UGGAUGAACGAAAAACGCAACCCCGCGUUAUCAUAAUAAAAAAAAUUAUGAGAGUAACUACGUUACAUUAAGUUCUAGGUAAAUUUUGAUAAUGACAUUAUUUAUCUAUAAGUCUUGACUAAAUCAUGUGCCAGCAGUCGCGGUAAGACAUGGAAGACAAGUGUUAUUCAUCUUUAUUAGGUAUAUUGGGUACUCAGACAGUUAAUUAAGCCGAUAAGGUACUAAUUAUACUAGAGUUUUAUAAGAAAGGGCUAGAAUGGUGAGUGUAGUGAUAAAAUACGUUGAUGCCACUUAGAGACUGGCAACGGCGAAGGCAACCUUUUAUGUAAAAACUGACGUUAAAGUACGAAGGCUUAAGAUAAGAAACAGGAUUAGAUACCCCAGUACUGUAGGCAGACAAUGAUGAGUGCCAUAUAUAAGUAUAUAUAUAUAACUAAUAAAAAAGUUAUAUAAUUAUUUGUGUAUAAACGAAAGUGUAAGCACUUCACCUCAAGAGUAACAUGGCAACAUGGGAACUGAAAUCAUUAGACCGUUUCUGAAACCAGUAGUGAAGUAUGUUGUUUAAUUUGAUGACCCACAAAGAACCUUACCACAAUUUGAAUGUAUUCACAGGAGUUGCACGGCUGUCUUCAGUUGAUAUCGUGAGAUUUUGGUUAGCUCCAUUGGAUCAACGUAAACCCUAACUUUAUUUUUUUCAUAAAGUGGAUCAACAACAUAUAGAUUAUGAUAAUAGGGACCAAGACAAGUCAUCAUGACCCUACGUAGAU